GGGUGGUAAUGCCGGAUGCUCCGCUCCAUCGCAUGGUGGGGUGGGAAAUGCUUUUGCGGCAUGGGAUGGGGUCGCGUCCUAUCAGCUUGUUGGCGGGGUGAUGGCCCACCAAGGCGUUGACGGGUAGCCGGCCUGAGAGGGUGACCGGCCACAUUGGGACUGAGAUACGGCCCAGACUCCUACGGGAGGCAGCAGUGGGGAAUAUUGCACAAUGGGCGCAAGCCUGAUGCAGCGACGCCGCGUGCGGGAUGGAGGCCUUCGGGUUGUAAACCGCUUUUGUUCAAGGGCAAGGCACGGUUUCGGCCGUGUUGAGUGGAUUGUUCGAAUAAGCACCGGCUAACUACGUGCCAGCAGCCGCGGUAAU
RNAcentral lists this ribosomal RNA (364 nucleotides) under Bifidobacterium animalis. RNAcentral describes it as "bacterial SSU rRNA". It matches the Rfam family "Bacterial small subunit ribosomal RNA", at positions 158 to 524 of the family's 1533-position model. The record is from RNAcentral. RNAcentral also lists the same sequence under 1 other name. Lineage: Bacteria; Bacillati; Actinomycetota; Actinomycetes; Bifidobacteriales; Bifidobacteriaceae.